Molecule: ribosomal RNA, 230 nt
Filed under: uncultured bacterium
Lineage: Bacteria
Description: partial 16S ribosomal RNA
Rfam family: Bacterial small subunit ribosomal RNA
Source: RNAcentral
UAGUCCGGAUUUACGUGGGUGUAAAGGGAGCGUAGACGGUUCUGCAAGUCUGGAGUGAAAGCCCGGGGCUCAACCCCGGGACUGCUUUGGAAACUGUGGAACUAGAGUGCAGGAGAGGUAAGUGGAAUUCCUAGUGUAGCGGUGAAAUGCGUAGAUAUUAGGAGGAACACCAGUGGCGAAGGCGGCUUACUGGACUGUAACUGACGUUGAGGCUCGAAAGCGUGGGGAGC